ACUCCUACGGAAGGCAGCAGUGGGGAAUAUUGCGCAAUGGGCGAAAGCCUGACGCAGCGACGCCGCGUGAGGGACGAAGGUCUUCGGAUUGUAAACCUCUUUCAGCAGGGACGAAGCGAAAGUGACUGUACCUGCAGAAGAAGCACCGGCUAACUACGUGCCAGCAGCCGCGGUAAU
This 177-nucleotide ribosomal RNA is filed under the name uncultured bacterium. RNAcentral's name for it is "partial 16S ribosomal RNA". It matches the Rfam family "Bacterial small subunit ribosomal RNA", at positions 335 to 524 of the family's 1533-position model. The record is from RNAcentral.